This 206-nucleotide long non-coding RNA is filed under the name Capsicum annuum. RNAcentral describes it as "long non-coding RNA (CANN_LNC011282)". Lineage: Eukaryota; Viridiplantae; Streptophyta; Magnoliopsida; Solanales; Solanaceae. The record is from RNAcentral.
GGGGAGGGGGCAUUUGGGAAAUCACUCUAAUAUCCAUCUUGACCACCAUAUAAAGAAAAAUCAUACUCCCGGUAGGAUAGAGAUGGUGCACACAUCUCUCUUUAGGGAGUAUAUCUAAAAUCUUGCCAAAAGUGAGGUCUAUCACAAUAUGGACAUGGAUCAUCAAGAUAAGAUUUUCAACCACCAAGCUCAUGUUCAUUCCACGA